GUGUUUUUGAAAGGACAAAAGGUUAGCACUACCCUUGACAAGGAUAGAAGAGGCCCUCAGGCCUAAAAAUUAAG
Molecule: small nuclear RNA, 74 nt
Filed under: Chlorocebus sabaeus (green monkey)
Lineage: Eukaryota; Metazoa; Chordata; Mammalia; Primates; Cercopithecidae
Source: RNAcentral